AUGUUUCCGAGGAAUCAAAGUUUCAACCUCCCAAUGUUGCAACAAUUUUCUCUAGAUGAUAACAAUUUUUAUGGUCAAUUUCCAGUAGGGCUUGCAUCAUGCCAGUACCUACAGGUAAUUGAUCUGGGUGGAAAUUCCUUUGUGGAUGUAUUACCAAAAUGGUUUGCCAAUUUGCCAUACCUUGAACAACUAUUCUUGGGUUUUAGUGGCCUUAUUGGUUCAAUCCCAGAUGCUCUUAGCAAUAUCACCAGUCUUACUGAUCUAGACAUCUUGAACGGAAACCUCACAGGAGAGAUUCCACCAAAAUUAGGUCUUAUGCAUGAAAUCUCGUAUAUGUACCUUGGAGGCAACCAAUUGACAGGUAAAAUUCCAGCUUCCCUUGGCAACCUAUCCAAUUUGUAUUUCCUUUCUUUGGGAAGUAAUCAGUUGUCCAGUCAAGUACCAACAACAAUCGGAGAAAAUUCAGCUCUAUGCACACUUGAUUUGUCAAACAACAAUUUAUACGGAAAUCUAGACUUCUUAUGA
Molecule: ribosomal RNA, 525 nt
Filed under: Triticum aestivum (bread wheat)
Lineage: Eukaryota; Viridiplantae; Streptophyta; Magnoliopsida; Poales; Poaceae
Description: partial small subunit ribosomal RNA
Source: RNAcentral